Non-coding RNA from Taeniopygia guttata (zebra finch), 1131 nucleotides. NCBI's taxonomy places the organism in Eukaryota, Metazoa, Chordata, Aves, Passeriformes, Estrildidae. The record is from RefSeq and is a predicted model, not a curated record.
CCAUCCUAAAAGCAGCAAUAAACAGGAUAAUUACAUCUCUCUCUACAGCACCCAUCAUGGAACCAGCCCUUGGCAAUGCCAACAUCUAUUUCCCCAAGGGUAUUGACUGGCUGUGAUAGUUCUGCUUGGAAAAUGGCUCUGUGGAGUUCUGUCACCAACAAGAUGCUUUCUUGGAUGUCAGCCAAGCAGGAAAUGCCAACACAAUUACCACCACAAUGUAAGUGCAUUAUUGGUUUUGGAAGAAGAGUCCAUAAAAGCAUCAGCAACCCACCUCAGCAGUAUCCUGUCCACAGCAACGUUGGUGGAAGAAGCAAUGAGGAGUUUCCAUGGAGUUGCCCUCGGACCCUCCGUAGCUUCACUGCUUUCAAAGAGCUGCACAAGGAACAAGAUCACCACAGACAGCAAGUAGCUCUUGCCAGCUCCAAAAACACCUGGUAUUUUGGAAGAAAAAGCCCAAGUUAUAAGCCAUCAUCUGAGCUACGUGAAUGAGUGAUGCUGCUUGAUCUGGGUUCAGGGAGAACCUCUGGAUCAUCUCUUCAGCCACUCCCAUUGCCACUUCAGAGCUCACAGGGCCAGACAUCAUUGAGCAUUUCAGGCUCAUGGCAGAAAGAAACAUUUACUCUUUAAAUAUAGAGAAAACGUGUUAAAUCCUGCUGAAAGCCGGAGCGACUGGAGUAUUUAUAAACCUCGAAUUCACACAGCAUUUCAGGAUACCUCACCAAAAGCUGGCAUUCCUCAUAGACAGCAAUCUUUUGACUCCUGAGGACUGAUUUAUUCCUGGCUCUUCAAUAACAUCAGGCUUCAUUUGAAAAUUCCCUUCUCUGAUAACAUCAACAUCAUCCUUAUGAAGACUCCUGGAGCUUGGAGACUUUAUUUAAAACAAAAGCAUAAGGGAAAACUUGUUAGAAAUUAAACUGUUUAUCUUCUUUUUUCCAAGUGCAACCGAUCAAAGGAGCAGAAAAAACCAAGUCACACAUUACGAAGUUCUAUGACAAAGGUAAGUAAAAAGAAUAUGUUUUGAUAUGAUUGUAGCAGUUUUAAAAUGAACUAUUUCCUAUCCUAAAUUGACAGGACACUUUCUUGCACUAAGGUUAGUAUGGAUAACUGAAUACAAAAAACGUUUUACCUGUC